This 459-nucleotide ribosomal RNA is filed under the name uncultured Desulfuromonas sp. Its description in RNAcentral is "bacterial SSU rRNA". It matches the Rfam family "Bacterial small subunit ribosomal RNA", at positions 924 to 1382 of the family's 1533-position model. Lineage: Bacteria; Pseudomonadati; Thermodesulfobacteriota; Desulfuromonadia; Desulfuromonadales; Desulfuromonadaceae. The record is from RNAcentral.
CACAAGCGGUGGAGCAUGUGGUUAAUUCGACGCAACGCGAAGAACUUACCUGGGCUUGACAUCCCGAUCGCACCUUAUGGAAACAUAGGGGUCGAGUUCGGCUGGAUCGGUGACAGGUGCUGCAUGGCUGUCGUCAGCUCGUGUCGUGAGAUGUUGGGUUAAGUCCCGCAACGAGCGCAACCCUUGUCCUUAGUUGCCAGCAUUCAGUUGGGCACUCUAAGGAGACUGCCGGUGUCAAACCGGAGGAAGGUGGGGAUGACGUCAAGUCCUCAUGGCCCUUAUGUCCAGGGCUACACACGUGCUACAAUGGCCGGUACAAAGGGGCGCAAGACCGCGAGGUGGAGCAAAUCCCAAAAAACCGGUCUCAGUUCGGAUUGGAGUCUGCAACUCGACUCCAUGAAGUUGGAAUCGCUAGUAAUCGCGUAUCAGCAUGACGCGGUGAAUACGUUCCCGGGCCUU